CUGACUGAGUGAAGUUCAUACAAUAUAGAGCACAGCUUUAGGGUUUCUCUCCGGAGUGAACACGUCUGUGCUUAGUCAGGUUUCUUGACUGAGUGAAUCUCUUUCCACACUGGUCACAGCUGUACGGCUUCUCACCGGUGUGUCUGCGCAUGUGUCCUUUCAGGGUGUUUCGUCGAGAAAAACUCAUUCCACAGACAUGGCAGCGAAAAGGUUUCUCUCCUGUGUGUGUACGCAUGUGUUCAUUCAGGGCUGUGGCAUCUUUGCAGCUCUUCCCACAUUGAUCACAGCUGUAAGGUUUCUCUCCUGUGUGUACACGCUUGUGAAUAGUCAGGGCUCCUGGUUGAGCAAAACUCUUCCCACAAUGAUCACAACUGUAAGGUUUCUCUCCUGUGUGUACAUGCUUGUGAAUAGUCAGGGCUCCUGGUUGAGCAAAACUCUUCCC
Long non-coding RNA from Oncorhynchus keta (chum salmon), 442 nucleotides. RefSeq lists it as uncharacterized. The record is from RefSeq and is a predicted model, not a curated record. Lineage: Eukaryota; Metazoa; Chordata; Actinopteri; Salmoniformes; Salmonidae. The transcript is spliced from 3 exons.